UAACACAUGCAAGUCGAGCGGCAGCGGAAAGUAGCUUGCUACUUUGCCGGCGAGCGGCGGACGGGUGAGUAAUGUCUGGGAAACUGCCUGAUGGAGGGGGAUAACUACUGGAAACGGUAGCUAAUACCGCAUAACGUCGCAAGACCAAAGAGGGGGACCUUCGGGCCUCUUGCCAUCAGAUGUGCCCAGAUGGGAUUAGCUAGUAGGUGGGGUAACGGCUCACCUAGGCGACGAUCCCUAGCUGGUCUGAGAGGAUGACCAGCCACACUGGAACUGAGACACGGUCCAGACUCCUACGGGAGGCAGCAGUGGGGAAUAUUGCACAAUGGGCGCAAGCCUGAUGCAGCCAUGCCGCGUGUAUGAAGAAGGCCCUCGGGUUGUAAAGUACUUUCAGCGGGGA
Molecule: ribosomal RNA, 400 nt
Filed under: uncultured Enterobacter sp.
Lineage: Bacteria; Pseudomonadati; Pseudomonadota; Gammaproteobacteria; Enterobacterales; Enterobacteriaceae
Description: bacterial SSU rRNA
Rfam family: Bacterial small subunit ribosomal RNA
Source: RNAcentral